This 69-nucleotide transfer RNA is filed under the name Marmota monax (woodchuck). Its description in RNAcentral is "tRNA.Ala". Lineage: Eukaryota; Metazoa; Chordata; Mammalia; Rodentia; Sciuridae. The record is from RNAcentral.
GGAUAUAGCUCAGUUGGUAGAGUGCUUGCUUUGCACACACAAAGCCCUGGGUUCAGUCCCCAGAAUCCA